Molecule: non-coding RNA, 435 nt
Organism: Vicugna pacos (alpaca)
Lineage: Eukaryota; Metazoa; Chordata; Mammalia; Artiodactyla; Camelidae
Source: RefSeq, a predicted model, not a curated record
CACAGGGGGUCAGGGCGAGGGAAGAUGUCCCAUGUCAAAGCCAAGCUCUCUGGGGAAGGGCUGGGACCCAGCACAGCCCUGCUUAGUAGCCACCAGACCACAGAGAAUUCAGAAGUCAACACACACACACCACUUUGUUUUUAAAAUCCAAUUAGUAAAACUAAAAAUCCAAUACCUAAAAAAGCCCCCCAAAAAACCAACAUUUAACGCUGAUAAUGGAACAGGUAUUUUCACACACACCUGGUGGAAUGAUUUAAGUGUGCACGCCUGGACCUGACAAAUGAGGACCUGGCGUCUGCUUAAAAUCUACUCCUAUUGUGUUAGAAAAAAUGAAAAGUCUUUACUUAGGUAUUGAUGGAGGACACGACAGGAUGUCUUAGAUUUGUUUUAAAGUGCUACAGUGCUCACAGUGAGAUUGGAAGAGCACAGGUCUGA